UUUUUUUUUUUUUUUUUGUAUUUUUAGUAGAGACAGGGUUUCACUGUGUGAGCCAGGAUGGUCUCAAUCUUCUGACCUCAUGAUCCGCCUGCUUCGGCCUCCUAAAGUACUGGGACUACAGGUGUGAGCCACCACGCCUGGCCUCUUUUACUUUUAUUAAUUGUACAGUUUAUAAGUAUAUUUUAAAUAGGAAAUCAGAAAAUUUUAUUGAUUUUAAUCAAUAUUUAUAUAUAGAACAGCUAAACCCCAAUGGGUAAAACAUCAGGGACUGACUAUAUACAGAAAUCCACAACAAUUUUACCUUAGAAGAGAACUUAAAGAUGCAAAUAAAUCAUGGUUUCUCAUCCCGACACGGUGGACAUUUUGGACAAUUCUCUGUGGCUGGGAGUGUCCUGUGUGUGGUGGAAUAUUUAGCAGCAUCUCUGGCCUCCACUCACUAGAAGCCAGUACUAUGUCACAUACACACACCCAUUGUGACAAUCGAAAAUGUUUCCAAACAAGUGUCCCCUGAGUGGUGCAAAGCAUCCCUUGGUUGAGAAUCACUGAACUAGAUAUAUUAUCUCUCUCAUGAAUGUUUUAUGUCUGGUGCUAUCAUGUUCUGUUCAUGUUCUUACUGUUUCCAGAAAGGGAACCACCAUAUAGAUUGACUUCCUUUCUGUUAUUUUGUAUCUAUUUCCUAAAGAAAAGUUUUAUAAACUUCAAAAAUAAAGAAAAACAACUAAGAAAAAAGACUUAGCUCUGUGUAAGUGCAGAGCCCCCAUGAUUAGGCUGCCACAUCUCAAGGCAGGUCAUUCUCCCUUGUGUUUCUUGAAAGGGUAAAGGUGAAAGAAAGGGAUUUUCAUUUGCAAAGGAUUUUUCUCAAGAGGUCUUGUGAGCAACUAGAACAAUAAAAACCCCAGAUGCUAUUAGAUGAAGGGCAGGUCUUACAGAUCAGUCUAUCACACUCAAAAGGGGAAAUACAAUUUUCUGUUUUAGAAAAAAAGAAAAUCUCUAGUGUCGAGAGACCUCACAGAUUUAAUGACCAUCUUGCCAGGCACUGCUUUAAACAAGUAAAAAGAAACAUACUUAUUUCCAGCCAGGAGCCUGGAGUUCCAUGGUGAGGUCACAUACAUCUAGUUUCUAUGUCCCACUUUCUGCCUUUGCUGACAUCUGAUUGAAUUAUUGAAAGAGUUCAUCGACAUUAACCCUGGACAGCCUCUUCUACCUAAGGAAGUAACUUGGAAGUGUGACCCAGUCAUGGUCUGAGCUGCCAAGACAAUAGCAGGGGAAGAAUGCUGCAUUGGUGUACAUCAAGGUAAUUAAAAGGUGUUUUGUUAUCAGCUCAUUAAUAUUGAUUAUACCUUUUUCCACUCCAUUAGAGCCGAUAAUUGGAGGUGGUGCUAGGUAUGUUCAAUGUUUCCCAACUACUCUGCUACUGACCCCGGGAAGAAAAACGCUUUGAAAAUUAAGCGCUUACCUUGCUGUUUACAAGCUAUAGUUCAUUGGCAUCCACCUUGACAAGGCUGAUCCCCAGAAGGAUGCCAUUUUCUGAGAAGGUACAAAACUCAAAUGUGAUGUUAGCAUCUGACCAGACUCUGUAGCCCUCUUUGACUGAAACAUACAAGGACAGCCCCAAGUCAACCUCAGAGAGGCAUGGGCUGGGCUGGGUGGCUGCUGUGCAUUUGGGCUUUCUGGCUGGAUCUAGCUCUUCCUCUGGAUCCAGCUGCAUCCCCACCAGCAGGUCAGUCCUGCCCUCUGAGCCUC
Macaca fascicularis (crab-eating macaque) is the source of this 1743-nucleotide long non-coding RNA. NCBI's taxonomy places the organism in Eukaryota, Metazoa, Chordata, Mammalia, Primates, Cercopithecidae. The record is from Ensembl.